GGCCCGGCUGGGUGGUCUGCCUAUUGGUAUGUACUGCUCGGCUGGGCCUUUCCUUCCAGGGAACUAGUUUGCGCUUUAUUGCGUGAGCUAGGGAACUGGAACUUUUACUUUGAAAAAAUUAGAGUGUUUAAAGCAAGCGUACGCUUGAAUACAUUAGCAUGGAAUAAUGAAAUAGGGCUU
This 180-nucleotide ribosomal RNA is filed under the name uncultured Glomeromycotina. Its description in RNAcentral is "partial small subunit ribosomal RNA". The stretch from base 89 to 180 matches the Rfam family "Eukaryotic small subunit ribosomal RNA", at positions 736 to 830 of the family's 1831-position model. The record is from RNAcentral. Lineage: Eukaryota; Fungi; Glomeromycota.